ACGGGUGAGUAAACCCGU
Molecule: small nuclear RNA, 18 nt
Filed under: Arabidopsis thaliana (thale cress)
Lineage: Eukaryota; Viridiplantae; Streptophyta; Magnoliopsida; Brassicales; Brassicaceae
Description: snRNA_03707
Source: RNAcentral